GUGUGUAUUGUUAGUGAAAAUAUGCUCAUAGUUUUUUUAAAUAUGUGUACGCCAUUAACUGAUGUCAUUGUGUUUUCCAGGGGUAUAUGAACCAGAAAUGAUGUGAUAUACUUGGUUAUUUGAACAUGAAGGUCAACCACGGGGUGGCGCGACAUGGGUGAGCUGAAAUUGUUCUACUGAUUCCUUGAUGCUUUGUUCAUUGCUUUGUUCUUAUUUUAUCGUUCUUUAUUUGCUUUGUUCUUUCCUACAAGAAGAUGCCGAGUCGUGCAAUAUGUUCAAAGAAGUGAGAAUCUGCAUUUUAUGAAUGUUUUCUUCUUUCUUCAUUGUUACCUCAAGUCAGUGAAUUCAGUUAAAUUGUACUGAGCAGCUUCAUACGCAUGGUUUCUCCAUCUACACAUCUUAUUCAGUCACGAGGCCAUUAAGAUCUUUUUGACUUUUAUAAAAAGGGUGAUGCCAAUUGGACGUCACCCUGUCCAACUUGAUCUUUAACUUGCUAUUACUGUUUGGAUCUUCACAUUCAAGGAUUUUUCAUUAAAUCGUCGGUUCACCAGUUCUUUGUUACUUGAGAUAUUGUGAUAAACUUAUAUCAUUGCUUACUAUACAUAUGUCUGGAUGAUGCCUGCAGGCUCAUUACAAGCUUCAGGUGGAUCAAAUAGUGGGCCUUCUAUAUAUAUAUUCAGCUGUAUCAUUUCUUACUAUAUAUGUCUUCCUGUAGACGAGACGAAACCAUACAUGGAUCCUUUGCCUCCUUUCUUGCUCAGACCCCAUGAUACAACCUCGGCGGUUGUCCAGCGACUAACAGGUAAUUUCUCUUUCAAUUUGAUGAUGAUGGAUGAGAAUCAGUUCUAUGAUUGCAGCUUAUAAAAACAGAUGUUGGAUGUCCCUUAUGUGAUGUGCUUAUUUACCAUGAUAGAUGCAAUUGCUUAUUAGUAGGUGCUCUCCGAAUCCUUCUUUAACUAAUUUACUUUGAAGUUCGGACAAAGGAGACUAUAACUUUUUAUAUUCGUUCUAUCAUGGAUUCCCUCUCUAGCCUAUGUACGUUUCAGAAAUAGGUACACACCUAGGAGAAGCCUGAGACCUAAUAAUAGUGCUAAGCAAUUACUCUGAUUGUCAUUCUAUGCUAUCAUCACAACACAGGUCAAUAGACAGUCAACAAAUGUGUAAUCAGCUUUCCCUGGGUCCUGCAUCAUCUACUAAUAAUCAAAUUUUGUGGCGAGUGUCUUAUAAAUCAGCAUACCUAUUUCUCCACACUGGAUAGCUUUUAUUGUGACUACAAAGAAUAUCGUUUGAGGAUGGCAUGCCAAUUGUUCUAUGUCUUGGGUAUGAAGUAAUUUCUAAAAUGUCUUAGGUUUCCCUAUAAAUUCUGCAAAUUUGCGGCAUGUCAUUAAAACCUACAGGGUGCUCCACCGAUGGUGAAAAUACCUCACAUGAUGAUGUUGGAUAUUCUUCUACAAACUUCUGGCCUACUAGUGGCUGAGUAUCGAAGCAAAAUGUGACAGUUGCAUGAUGUGGUUGACUGUUUAUUUGCAUACAGCAAUAUCAUCUUUUGGAGAUAAAACAGCCGUAUGGAUGUUACAUGAGACCAUGUCGGAAGACCCUGCUGCUAUGUAAGCAAAAGGAUUCAUGAUACCCACGGUGAAAACAGAGAUAAGAUGCUACAGUUAGAGCAGCAUUGAGAAACCGAGGACACGAAAUGAGUCUGAAAAAUGCUAUGGGCUGAUUUGUUCUAGCUAGGUACAUGCAAUGCUUCUCUUAUAUAUAUGCAACGUAACAUCGCGGAUAACUAGAACUGUUGUGAUGUUGCUCUAUUAUAAGUACAAAUAACUCAUGGUUAUCUUUUCUUAUGCAAUGUGUGGUAGAAGUUGUACUCACAGGAAGACUAUCGUGCUUUGUAUAAACCACAUUCUAUGAUUCACUUCUGUUAUGCUUAUUUACAUUCCAGUGUUAGGACUGAAAUCCAUCUAUUGUAAUGAAUUUGGUUAUAUUGGCAUUACCUAUUUGACUUAGGCUUGGUUCAUCACAUAUAGACUGUUUUUCUUGUAACCCGCUGCUUGUAUGACCUAAAACUGUCAUGUAUAUGAGGCAAGUUAUUAGCAAUGUUUCACAUUUUCUUACUUGCAAUACUAUGCUUGCCUGUUCAGGUCUUCCAAGACCUAAAUCAUCAGAAAUCCAGCAC
Molecule: long non-coding RNA, 2176 nt
Filed under: Triticum aestivum (bread wheat)
Lineage: Eukaryota; Viridiplantae; Streptophyta; Magnoliopsida; Poales; Poaceae
Description: long non-coding RNA (TAES_LNC010288)
Source: RNAcentral